UUUGAUCCUGGCUCAGAUUGAACGCUGGCGGCAGGCUUAACACAUGCAAGUCGAGCGGGGAAGGUUACUUCGGUAACUGACCUAGCGGCGGACGGGUGAGUAAUGCUUAGGAAUCUGCCUAUUAGUGGGGGACAACAUUCCGAAAGGAAUGCUAAUACCGCAUACGUCCUACGGGGGAAAGCAGGGGAUCUUCGGACCUAGCGCUAAUAGAUGAGCCUAAGUCGGAUUAGCUAGUUGGUGGGGUAAAGGCCUACCAAGGCGACGAUCUGUAGCGGGUCUGAGAGGAUGAUCCGCCACACUGGGACUGAGACACGGCCCAGACUCCUACGGGAGGCAGCAGUGGGGAAUAUUGGACAAUGGGCGGAAGCCUGAUCCAGCCAUGCCGCGUGUGUGAAGAAGGCCUUUUGGUUGUAAAGCACUUUAAGCGAGGAGGAGGCUCCUUUAGUUAAUACCUAAAGUGAGUGGACGUUACUCGCAGAAUAAGCACCGGCUAACUCUGUGCCAGCAGCCGCGGUAAUACAGAGGGUGCGAGCGUUAAUCGGAUUUACUGGGCGUAAAGCGUGCGUAGGCGGCUUUUUAAGUCGGAUGUGAAAUCCCUGAGCUUAACUUAGGAAUUGCAUUCGAUACUGGAAAGCCAGAGUAUGGGAGAGGAUGGUAGAAUUCCAGGUGUAGCGGUGAAAUGCGUAGAGAUCUGGAGGAAUACCGAUGGCGAAGGCAGCCAUCUGGCCUAAUACUGACGCUGAGGUACGAAAGCAUGGGGAGCAAACAGGAUUAGAUACCCUGGUAGUCCAUGCCGUAAACGAUGUC
This 807-nucleotide ribosomal RNA is filed under the name uncultured Acinetobacter sp. Its description in RNAcentral is "bacterial SSU rRNA". It matches the Rfam family "Bacterial small subunit ribosomal RNA", at positions 12 to 813 of the family's 1533-position model. The record is from RNAcentral. Lineage: Bacteria; Pseudomonadati; Pseudomonadota; Gammaproteobacteria; Moraxellales; Moraxellaceae.